AGAGCAUCACCCCUGAGGAUAAGAAGAGAGUGUGGACUGAAGUGGCAGAAGCUGUAACAAGUGCCUUCCCUGGGAGUGGACCCCGUACGCAGGAUGACUGUGAGAGGCGUUGGUACAACGUACAACAAAAAUCAAAGCCUUGCAUUGCCAAGUGCAAGAAUGAGCAGCGGCACUGCCCCGCUGCUGUAUUGCUAGAGACCAUCCCAGCACAUUGUUCAUUACUUGUGGAAAAGAUACCAUCAGCUGCUCCGGCAACAGCCACUGCUUCAACAUCUGCUGGCCCUAUGACACCAGCCACUGCUUCAACAUCUGGUGGCCAAAUGACACCUGCCACUGCUUCAUCAUCUGCUGGCCCUAUGACACCAGACACUGCUUCAUCAUCUGCUGGCCCA
Molecule: long non-coding RNA, 392 nt
Organism: Eriocheir sinensis (Chinese mitten crab)
Lineage: Eukaryota; Metazoa; Arthropoda; Malacostraca; Decapoda; Varunidae
Exons: 3
Source: RefSeq, a predicted model, not a curated record